CACACCGCCCACCAAGGCCGCGGGCCCUGCGCGCCCAGGGCAGGCGGGCACAUCCCGCACCCUCUCCGCCCGCCCGCCCCCGGCGCCCUUCGCAUUCCCUUCUUCGGCCCUGGCCCCUAGGACCGGAGCGCCCAGGCCAGCUCAGGGUGUUCCCGUGGGGGUCUCCGGAAACAAUGUAGAGACGGGGUUUCACCGUGUUAGCCAGGAUGGUCUUGAUCUCCUGACCUCGUGAUCUGCCCGCCUCGGUCUCCCAAAGUGCUGGGAUUACAGGUAGAGGACCUUUGGAGAUGUGAAUGAAAACAGCUGUCUGAACAAGUUGUACCCUAACUAGCACAGCUGUGAAUCUGAAGCUUGAAAUGGGGAAGUUGGUCAGCAUGGGUGAAGCUAUGCAGCCCAGGUGAAGGGAUCCUCAAGCAGCAGCCUCUGCCUUUUUGUCUUCUCCUUUUCAUGGAGAUGACAAGAAUCACCCCAGGACUUAUCUUCUGAGGUGCUCAGCUGUGGUCCCAGAGCUGCUUUGGUCACUGCUAUGGCAGGUGGAAGCAGGAUGGGUGAAGUCAU
Molecule: long non-coding RNA, 558 nt
Filed under: Pan troglodytes (chimpanzee)
Lineage: Eukaryota; Metazoa; Chordata; Mammalia; Primates; Hominidae
Description: lincRNA
Source: RNAcentral